Molecule: long non-coding RNA, 540 nt
Filed under: Trifolium pratense (red clover)
Lineage: Eukaryota; Viridiplantae; Streptophyta; Magnoliopsida; Fabales; Fabaceae
Description: long non-coding RNA (TPRA_LNC005593)
Source: RNAcentral
GAUUGUUUUAAUAUGCUUUUUGAGAUGCCAUUGUGUUUAGGUCUUGUAACUUGGAAUUUAUUUGUAGUGCUUAUAGAAAAGAUCGAGAUGCAAAAGACAAACUGUCUUCUUUAUGAAUGGUUGUCAGAACUUCAGAAGAGAGAAAUAGUAUUCUAAUCUAUACUUGUAUUUUUUAGGUAUCUACAUCAGAAGAGUCACUAAAUAGUAGGCGUUUUGAGUCAAGCAAGCCCUGAGGAUCAUGAAGCAACAUCACUAGGAAAUAUUUAGAUAUUUUUGUGAACUUCUAAUUUUGAUGUAAUUGUUUUGUAUGUUUAGUCACUUUACUAAUGUGAUUUUGUACUACUUUAAUUAUUGUUUUAGUUAAGUUUUGAUGUAUGGAUGUUACUAUUGAAUAAAUUAUAUGAAUGAGAAUAAGUCAUUUAUAUUUAUAUAUUUGAGCUUCUUGCAAAUUGCAAAUGGCUUNNNNNNNNNNNNNNNNNNAUGUAAUAGAAUUUACUAUGCAAUUGAUGGCUUUGAGAGCACUCAAAAAUAACAUUUUUU